UUGAAACAUUGGUUCCCGUACGACGGUCACCGAAGUUAGGCAACGUCGAGUUUGGUUAGUACUUAGAUGGGUGACCUCUUGGAAAUACCAUGUUCUGUCA
Molecule: non-coding RNA, 100 nt
Organism: Acanthosepion pharaonis
Lineage: Eukaryota; Metazoa; Mollusca; Cephalopoda; Sepiida; Sepiidae
Source: the annotation of a GenBank genome assembly